This is a small nucleolar RNA of Phragmites australis (common reed), 81 nucleotides long. RefSeq annotates it as small nucleolar RNA SNORD34. NCBI's taxonomy places the organism in Eukaryota, Viridiplantae, Streptophyta, Magnoliopsida, Poales, Poaceae. The record is from RefSeq and is a predicted model, not a curated record. The transcript has a single exon.
UUUUGCCUAUGAUGACUUGCAAGUUGCGUACAUUGUCUGACAAAUAUCUUUGUGAUGUUGGUUGCAAGAUCUGAGGCUUUU